GCCGGGCGUUGUGGCGGGCGCCUGUAGUCCCAGCUACUUGGGAGGCUGAGGCAAGAGAAUUGCUUAAGCCCAAGAGUUGGAGGUUGCUGUGAGCUGUGAUGCCAUAGUACUCUACAGAGGGCGACAUAGUGACACUGUGUCUCAAAAAAAAAAAUUAUUUAUUUAUUUUGAGACUGAAACUCACUCUGUUGCCCUGGGUAGAGUGCCAUGGCAUCAUUAUAGUUCACAGCAACCUCAGUCUCUUGGGCUCAAGUGAUUCUCUUGCCUCAG
This 270-nucleotide signal recognition particle RNA is filed under the name Otolemur garnettii (small-eared galago). Its description in RNAcentral is "Metazoan signal recognition particle RNA". It matches the Rfam family "Metazoan signal recognition particle RNA". Rfam says of the family: The signal recognition particle (SRP) is a universally conserved ribonucleoprotein. It is involved in the co-translational targeting of proteins to membranes. The record is from Rfam by way of RNAcentral. Lineage: Eukaryota; Metazoa; Chordata; Mammalia; Primates; Galagidae.